AUCCAACUGAUGCGUCUUAAAUAGGAUGAAACGCGCGUCCUGGAU
Molecule: non-coding RNA, 45 nt
Organism: Schistosoma curassoni
Lineage: Eukaryota; Metazoa; Platyhelminthes; Trematoda; Strigeidida; Schistosomatidae
Source: Rfam